GACGAACGCUGGCGGCGUGCUUAACACAUGCAAGUCGAACGGAAAGGCCCUGCUUGCAGGGUACUCGAGUGGCGAACGGGUGAGUAACACGUGGGUGAUCUGCCCUGCACUUCGGGAUAAGCCUGGGAAACUGGGUCUAUUACCGGAUAGGAGCCAUUCUUAGUGUGAUGGUUGGAAAGUUUUUUCGGUGUAGGAUGAGCUCGCGGCCUAUCAGCUUGUUGGUGGGGUAAUGGCCUACCAAGGCGGCGACGGGUAGCCGGCCUGAGAGGGUGGACGGCCACAAUGGGACUGGGAAACGGGCCAGACUCCUACGGGAGGCAGCAGUGGGGAAUAUUGCACAAUGGGCGCAAGCCUGAUGCAGCGACGCCGCGUGGGGGAUGACGGGCUUCGGGUUGUAAACUCCUUUCGCUAGGGACGAAGCUUUUUGUGACGGUACCUAGAUAAGAAGCACCGGCUAACUACGUG
Molecule: ribosomal RNA, 465 nt
Filed under: uncultured bacterium
Lineage: Bacteria
Description: partial 16S ribosomal RNA
Rfam family: Bacterial small subunit ribosomal RNA
Source: RNAcentral